ACGUGCUAAUUUUAUAAUUUGGAAAAGCAUUAUUUGAAAAUAAAGUUUGCUGUCUUAAAGUAUCGGCAAAAUGGAAUUAGAUUAAAAUUAUUCUUAAAUAAUAAACUUUAGCCUAUCUUAAUGCUAACUUUUAGCAACAAACCAAUUUGCAUUUUAAAAGUUUGUUUUGCAAACACACUGAGGUAUAACAAACAAAAGAUGUUCUUUACUAAUGUAUUUUUUACAGAUGAGCUUAUUUUUAACUCCACAGACUUAAUAAAAUAAAUAAUGGCUCUGUCCAUAUCAACCUUUCAGAAGGUGUGAGCACAAGCUAAAAUAUACAUGAGUUUCUGUAAGUUUUCAUGACUUUGCAGCAUCUUAAGGUUUUAAAAUAGAAUAGCCCGUGAAAAGAGAAGAGUACUAAACGGAAAAAUUAGUACUGGCCUAGGAAGUGAUUCACAUGAGAAAGUGAAUUCUUGAAGCCUAAUUUACAAAUGCCUAUGGAAUCGCAUAACACAGCUCAUUACACCUGGAUUUCGAUGUAACAGAGUAGAUCUGACAAAGAAUCAAAGACCUUUAAGCUGAAAGCUUCUUUAUUUUGCAGGGGAGGACAUGAACUUUGCAAAUGAGGAGCCAGAAAGAACUGACUUGCUCAAGGUCACAUGACUUAUAACUCAGGUUUCCUGACUUAUUAGUUCACUGGCUCAGGAACAGCCACUACUCAGCUAAGACAUGGUAUUGUUUCGGACUUCAUCUCACAUAUGUAAUGAAAAUCUCUGUGUCAAUGAAUCACCUAGACCAAGUUCCUGUUAAUUUCACAAGAGUUCCUGGAAGCAAAGAUGUGACGGUAUCAGAAAGAAACUCAUGAUAGCCCAAGGACCACAGUUACAUCUCAUCUAGCCUUGCCUUUUCCUCUUUGGGAAAGGAAAUCUAAUUGCUCUGGAGACACAACCAUAACACUGACCUUCCUUUUUUCCUGAGUAGAGGAGAAUUAAAUAAACCCUGGGACUUCUCACUUGAAACAGAACAUCAACACCCAUUAAAAGUCUGUCUACUGCACAGUUAACCUAUCUUAGAAGAGUUAGUGCCUCUUCAGGCACUAGCAGAAAACAAAGCUUCCAAAUCAUUAUCAGGAUGGCCCUUCACUGCAAAGACUCUAUGUUUAAAUGUUUCAUUUACUUGCAGCAUGCUAAUUGCCACUAGACCCCACUUGCCAAUUGAUAAACAGGUGUCAAGCAUAACACUGGAUUUAGAAGGCCAUAUCUGUCAUCUUACAAUGAUAUUCUACUUAAUAAAUUCAUCAUCACUGACUUAGCCACUUGCUACAAAGCUAUCAGAGUUGAAUGUAAAGAAGCUGGAAAAACAUUCGCUGAAUUUCCUAUCCAAAUAUAACCACCAUCUUGGUCAGACACAUGGGCUCUUUGAUAUGAGAUAUGAAGAAGAUAUCCUCAGCUAGUUCGCUCAAUUCAGCAGCAACAUAAUAAAGAAGAAAAUGAAAUGUAAGUUCUUUUUGCAACUGUAAGGCACUGAAACAAGUUUUAGAGAUAAACUGAAAAAUAAAAGAAGGUGAUUUCUUCUAAGCAGUAGGAAGGUGAGUUUUUAGUUUUCUCAUUUAUAAGGAAGAAGGAAGCAAUUCUAACUACCUAGACUGAUAAAAAGGUAGGUGAACAAUAAUUUCUUUCCAUUUUCAGAUUGCAGCAACCUCAAGAUAUUUCAUUUCUAUAAUGCAUAACCAUAAAAACUGAGGGAACCACAAUCCAAGCUGAUUGCUAAACAAAGUAUUAAGAUAGAUCAUGAGAAUAUGCAUUAAAACACAGUCCUGAAGAACUGCUCUUCUGCCAGAGCUUAGUUAUGGACGUGAUUUUGUUUUUUGAAGUUAGUCUGUUCAUGUUGUUAUACUAAGAAUCAGUUAUUUUCCAAAGAUUUAAUUCUAGGGUGGGAAAUAAUUUCUUAUCCAAAGCCACAGAAUCUCAGAGAAAACAAAGGCUCUACGCAAAAACAGGAAAUUAUUUAGAAUCAUAGAGUGAUAUAAUUUUAAUAACUUGAAGGACAUUUUAAGAAAUUACAUAACAUUUA
RNAcentral lists this long non-coding RNA (2055 nucleotides) under Homo sapiens (human). RNAcentral's name for it is "HSALNT0345870". The record is from RNAcentral. Lineage: Eukaryota; Metazoa; Chordata; Mammalia; Primates; Hominidae.